Zingiber officinale is the source of this 1485-nucleotide long non-coding RNA. RefSeq lists it as uncharacterized. NCBI's taxonomy places the organism in Eukaryota, Viridiplantae, Streptophyta, Magnoliopsida, Zingiberales, Zingiberaceae. The transcript has 4 exons. The record is from RefSeq and is a predicted model, not a curated record.
GCUCCUCUUUCUCUGCUCCAGCGGCGAUGAACGACAAAGCUCUCCCCCUUCUUCUCAAGCACAGCAGCCCUUGUUUCCCCCUCCCCGCACCUUUUCUCCUCCUCCAGUAAGGGGAGAGCGUUGUUUUUCUCUGGCCACUAGCCUUUGCUUCCUCUUCUCUGCUUCUCGGCAGCACCGUCAGAGCUCCUCGAAGUGUGUCGGAGCCCGCCGGACCACCAGAAAAGAGGGGAAAAUAAAGUCCUAGUUGCUGCCCUCUUUUCUAGCCAAACACAACAGCUAUCGGAGCUAGCUGUGGUCUUCGCCGGAACUCGCCGAGACCAUUGGUGAAAAAGAGGAAAAGCAGCCCUAGCUGUUGUCCUUUUCUUGGCAGCACUGUCGGAGUUCGCCGGAGCUCGCCGGAGCUAGCUGAGGCGGCCAACAACGAAAAGAAAACAACCCUAGUUGUUGUCCUCAUUUCCAGCAGCCACACAAAAUCCUUAGAAGAUAUGAGCUUGAGUGGAGCACGGUGACCUGACGACACUUGAAGAUUUUUGCUGUACAUAAGGGUGUAACAGGCGAAGUCCAAUUUGCCAACCACCCUGCCCUUACCAAGGCACGGUAGUCACUGCUGGUGCUUAUAUCGGAAUAACUCAUGAUCGGAACCACCCCAAAGCUACAAUUUCCACCUGGAAAGUUCACAUGUCCGAGAUCGCACUCGCCUCCGAAGAACACCAGACUGGUAUAGCCCAGGACAAGUGAAGUUUUGAUAGCUCAGUAGGCCAUAUCCGUACCAGCGCAAUCGAAGAGGAAGAAGAUACGCUUGUUAGAAGAGCUAUCGCGAAAAGGAUGGAGAUACAAAGCGGAAUUCGAGAAAAGUGCUAUGCAUGGAUCGUCGUCGGCCAGAGUAAAUUGAGCUGAGUCGUAGGAGAUGCUGUCGAUAAGAUAAGUGAAGUCAGAAACUGAAAGAGCAAGAGCUCAAGUUUGGUCGGUGCAGUUAAGGGCAAAUCGCGGAAGGCCGCAUGCAGAAGGAUGGCUGCUGCCCUUGGAGCCACAAGGGGAACUGAAUCGAGUGAUUCCCACAUCUUUGAGGAACGCAAUCAUCGAACAUGGAAGAGGAGGCAAUGGCUGUUGGUGCUUCCUUCACCGAAGAAAUAAUUAGGCAGAAAGAGCAGGAUCCGCAUGGUGAAGGAAGGGAGUCUCCAGUCUUGAGAGAGUAUAAGAAUCACGGGAGAGGAGGAGCUAAGUUUGCAAGUAGUCAAGAGUGCAUGAACGUAAGAGUCAAACGGAUAUUGAUUUUCUUAUGCCAAAUUAUUCUAAUUUGGACAACCAAAACACGUUAGAAUAAGUAGCGUGCUGAUUCUUCAGAUGCAGUGGUGGCAAAGAAGGUGUUUAGUUGUUUAGCUUGUCAUAGUUCAUCAUCCACUGAUUUGAUCUCUACCGUACCAUUUUCUUUUCUUUUCUUUACCAUGUGGGCUUCUUGAAGUCUUCCCAAGCAGUCCCUGUCGU